This 1500-nucleotide ribosomal RNA is filed under the name Helicobacter pylori. Its description in RNAcentral is "bacterial SSU rRNA". It matches the Rfam family "Bacterial small subunit ribosomal RNA". Lineage: Bacteria; Pseudomonadati; Campylobacterota; Epsilonproteobacteria; Campylobacterales; Helicobacteraceae. The record is from RNAcentral.
UAUGGAGAGUUUGAUCCUGGCUCAGAGUGAACGCUGGCGGCGUGCCUAAUACAUGCAAGUCGAACGAUGAAGCUUCUAGCUUGCUAGAAGCGGAUUAGUGGCGCACGGGUGAGUAACGCAUAGGUCAUGUGCCUCUUAGUUUGGGAUAGCCAUUGGAAACGAUGAUUAAUACCAGAUACUCCCUACGGGGGAAAGAUUUAUCGCUAAGAGAUCAGCCUAUGUCCUAUCAGCUUGUUGGUAAGGUAAUGGCUUACCAAGGCUAUGACGGGUAUCCGGCCUGAGAGGGUGAACGGACACACUGGAACUGAGACACGGUCCAGACUCCUACGGGAGGCAGCAGUAGGGAAUAUUGCUCAAUGGGGGAAACCCUGAAGCAGCAACGCCGCGUGGAGGAUGAAGGUUUUAGGAUUGUAAACUCCUUUUGUUAGAGAAGAUAAUGACGGUAUCUAACGAAUAAGCACCGGCUAACUCCGUGCCAGCAGCCGCGGUAAUACGGAGGGUGCAAGCGUUACUCGGAAUCACUGGGCGUAAAGAGCGCGUAGGCGGGAUAGUCAGUCAGGUGUGAAAUCCUAUGGCUUAACCAUAGAACUGCAUUUGAAACUACUAUUCUAGAGUGUGGGAGAGGUAGGUGGAAUUCUUGGUGUAGGGGUAAAAUCCGUAGAGAUCAAGAGGAAUACUCAUUGCGAAGGCGACCUGCUGGAACAUUACUGACGCUGAUUGCGCGAAAGCGUGGGGAGCAAACAGGAUUAGAUACCCUGGUAGUCCACGCCCUAAACGAUGGAUGCUAGUUGUUGGAGGGCUUAGUCUCUCCAGUAAUGCAGCUAACGCAUUAAGCAUCCCGCCUGGGGAGUACGGUCGCAAGAUUAAAACUCAAAGGAAUAGACGGGGACCCGCACAAGCGGUGGAGCAUGUGGUUUAAUUCGAAGAUACACGAAGAACCUUACCUAGGCUUGACAUUGAGAGAAUCCGCUAGAAAUAGUGGAGUGUCUAGCUUGCUAGACCUUGAAAACAGGUGCUGCACGGCUGUCGUCAGCUCGUGUCGUGAGAUGUUGGGUUAAGUCCCGCAACGAGCGCAACCCCCUUUCUUAGUUGCUAACAGGUCAUGCUGAGAACUCUAAGGAUACUGCCUCCGUAAGGAGGAGGAAGGUGGGGACGACGUCAAGUCAUCAUGGCCCUUACGCCUAGGGCUACACACGUGCUACAAUGGGGUGCACAAAGAGAAGCAAUACUGCGAAGUGGAGCCAAUCUUCAAAACGCCUCUCAGUUCGGAUUGUAGGCUGCAACUCGCCUGCAUGAAGCUGGAAUCGCUAGUAAUCGCAAAUCAGCCAUGUUGCGGUGAAUACGUUCCCGGGUCUUGUACUCACCGCCCGUCACACCAUGGGAGUUGUGUUUGCCUUAAGUCAGGAUGCUAAAUUGGCUACUGCCCACGGCACACACAGCGACUGGGGUGAAGUCGUAACAAGGUAACCGUAGGUGAACCUGCGGUUGGAUCACCUCCUU